AAGUAGGUGAAGGCUAAAUAUUCUAGCUUGUGUAGGUAGGAGGCAUGCCAAUUAUCCCUGUCCAUGUCCCCUUAAUUGAUAGUUAUUUUAACCUCUAAACUGCUAAACAGUUGAAUCCCCAAUAAUUACAUUGGUGUCAGUCUGAUCAGAUUUUUUUUUUCUAACUUUUUUGCUGCAACUGGCUAGCAAGAGCAGGGAAGCCCACCCCCACACACGACGCCCCACGGCUUCUUCUUUUGUUUAACAAUUUGCCCAUCAGCUGCUAAUGUUGCCAUAAGGCAAUUAGUUCAGAUUUAAAUAAAUUUGAAGGUUAAAUAGCAAGUUAAUUGUUUCACCAGAUUUCCCAGUAUCUGGGCAAGAUCCAGUAGAAAUCAGGCAUACAUUUGUUGUUUGUAAA
This is a non-coding RNA of Pelobates cultripes (western spadefoot toad), 397 nucleotides long. The record is from the annotation of a GenBank genome assembly. NCBI's taxonomy places the organism in Eukaryota, Metazoa, Chordata, Amphibia, Anura, Pelobatidae.